Regulatory RNA element from Firmicutes bacterium CAG:882, 164 nucleotides. The record is from Rfam. Lineage: Bacteria; Bacillati; Bacillota.
UUUGGGAAAAACUUAGAUAUUCUUAGAACUCUGGCGGCAUCCCAGCCACAGACGGCAUGGAUGUCGGCUGAGCAGCAACGCAUACAAGGAAGUAUGCUUUGCUGCGAUGGCGUACACAGAUAUAAGCUAAAUCAGAGUUCUUAGAAUAUCUUGUUUUGUACAAC